This is a long non-coding RNA of Oreochromis niloticus (Nile tilapia), 448 nucleotides long. RefSeq lists it as uncharacterized. The record is from RefSeq and is a predicted model, not a curated record. The transcript is spliced from 5 exons. NCBI's taxonomy places the organism in Eukaryota, Metazoa, Chordata, Actinopteri, Cichliformes, Cichlidae.
UCAGCCCUACUGUUCCUGCUUUGUUCAUUCACCCGCUCCAAUAGACCCUCAUCAUUUCUGCACCGUGAGUCCUGCGUUUGGGUCAUCUCUUCCACGCUUCCACACACAAAACCUGGCAAGGUUAUUCACAGUAAUCAUUGGAGAUAUCUGCUUGGACCAUGAAUAUCACCUGCUCCUCUGAUGGGGGAUAUUUACCAGGGGGGAGAGAUCCUGCACUUUUACAAGUCAGACUGGCUCAUCAUGGUGGUAAACAGCAAGCAGGGACGUCACUGUCAGAGAUGGCGACGAUCAUAGCCUGGCCUUAGCGUUGCAGAUCGGAUUCAUGCUCCCUGACCAAUGUUUGGCUGUGUAACUGUUAACGAGUGCUUCAGUGCACCGGAUGGUAAUAUUUUAAAGAGAGACGGCCGCUUGUGAGCGUAAACACCGGGAUGCGAGCACAUUUUAAAGC